RNAcentral lists this long non-coding RNA (298 nucleotides) under Gossypium barbadense (sea-island cotton). Its description in RNAcentral is "long non-coding RNA (GBAR_LNC006964)". The record is from RNAcentral. Lineage: Eukaryota; Viridiplantae; Streptophyta; Magnoliopsida; Malvales; Malvaceae.
GAAUCUGCUGGUUCAGGUACCCUUGCUUUAGAACCGAACUACAUAUAGUGAACUUUAAGUGCUUGCCCCAGGUAGUAUGAUGAUGACCUUUAGUGUGUACCUUUAUAAGUUCUUAUUUAUUAUAUUUUUUUAUGUGACACUGACUUGUUUUUCUUAUUUUGCUAUCAUUGCAUGUCAUUUAUCAUUAAAAGGUGUCGAUUCAAGGUUCGAUUUCUGAGUUAGAAAGUUUUGUAAUGGGGAACGAAUAUCUUAAUAAAGUGGAGAACAACUCUUUCGUUUGUGCUUGGUCAGAGAAAAC